ACGAACGCUGGCGGCGUGCUUAACACAUGCACGUCGAACGGAAAGGCCCUGCUUUUGUGGGGUGCUCGAGUGGCGAACAGGUGAGUAACACGUGAGUAACCUGCCCUUGACUUUGGGAUAACUUCAGGAAACUGGGGCUAAUACCGGAUAGGAGCUCCUGCUGCAUGGUGGGGGUUGGAAAGUUUCGGCGGUUGGGGAUGGACUCGCGGCUUAUCAGCUUGUUGGUGGGGUAGUGGCUUACCAAGGCUUUGACGGGUAGCCGGCCUGAGAGGGUGACCGGCCACAUUGGGACUGAGAUACGGCCCAGACUCCUACGGGAGGCAGCAGUGGGGAAUAUUGCACAAUGGGCGGAAGCCUGAUGCAGCAACGCCGCGUGCGGGAUGACGGCCUUCGGGUUGUAAACCGCUUUCGCCUGUGACGAAGCGUGAGUGACGGUAAUGGGUAAAGAAGCACCGGCUAACUACGUG
This 467-nucleotide ribosomal RNA is filed under the name uncultured bacterium. Its description in RNAcentral is "partial 16S ribosomal RNA". It matches the Rfam family "Bacterial small subunit ribosomal RNA", at positions 29 to 507 of the family's 1533-position model. The record is from RNAcentral.